GAUGAACGCUAGCUACAGGCUUAACACAUGCAAGUCGAGGGGUAACGAGAGGAAAGCUUGCUUUCCUUGUCGACGACCGGCGCACGGGUGAGUAACGCGUAUCCAACCUGCCCCCAACUAGGGAAUAACCUUGCGAAAGUAAGACUAAUACCCUAUAAUUUCCUCAGAUGUCAUCUGACGAGGAAUAAAGAUUUAUCGGUUGUGGAUGGGGAUGCGUCUGAUUAGCUUGUUGGAGGGGUAACGGCCCACCAAGGCAACGAUCAGUAGGGGUUCUGAGAGGAAGGUCCCCCAAAUUGGAACGGAGACACGGUCCAAACUCCUACGGGAGGCAGCAGUGAGGAAUAUUGGUCAAUGGGCGGAAGCCUGAACCAGCCAAGUAGCGUGCAGGAUGACGGCCCUAUGGGUUGUAAACUGCUUUUAUACAGGAAUAAAGUUAGCCACGUGUGGUUAUUUGUAGGUACUGUAUGAAUAAGGACCGGCUAAUUCCGUGCCAGCCGCCGCAGUAA
RNAcentral lists this ribosomal RNA (506 nucleotides) under uncultured bacterium. RNAcentral describes it as "partial 16S ribosomal RNA". It matches the Rfam family "Bacterial small subunit ribosomal RNA", at positions 28 to 523 of the family's 1533-position model. The record is from RNAcentral.